This 497-nucleotide ribosomal RNA is filed under the name uncultured bacterium. RNAcentral's name for it is "partial 16S ribosomal RNA". It matches the Rfam family "Bacterial small subunit ribosomal RNA", at positions 28 to 507 of the family's 1533-position model. The record is from RNAcentral.
GAUGAACGCUGGCGGCGUGCCUAAUACAUGCCAGUCGAGCGAACGGACGAGAAGCUUGCUUCUCUGAUGUUAGCGGCGGACGGGUGAGUAACACGUGGAUAACCUACCUAUAAGACUGGGAUAACUUCGGGAAACCGGAGCUAAUACCGGAUAAUAUUUUGAACCGCAUGGUUCAAUAGUAAAAGACGGUCUUGCUGUCACUUAUAGAUGGAUCCGCGCUGCAUUAGCUAGUUGGUAAGGUAACGGCUUACCAAGGCAACGAUGCAUAGCCGACCUGAGAGGGUGAUCGGCGACACUGGAGCUGGGACAGGGUCCAGGCUCCUACGGGAGGCAGCAGUAGGGAAUCUUCCGCAAUGGGCGAAAGCCUGACGGAGCAACGCCGCGUGAGUGAUGAAGGUCUUCGGAGCGUAAAACUCUGUUAUUAGGGAAGAACAUAUGUGUAAGUAACUGUGCACAUCUUGACGGUACCUAAUCAGAAAGCCACGGCUAACUACGUG